This 66-nucleotide transfer RNA is filed under the name Eurysternus hamaticollis. Its description in RNAcentral is "tRNA-Tyr". It matches the Rfam family "tRNA". Rfam says of the family: Transfer RNA (tRNA) molecules are approximately 80 nucleotides in length. Lineage: Eukaryota; Metazoa; Arthropoda; Insecta; Coleoptera; Scarabaeidae. The record is from RNAcentral.
AAUAAAGUGGCUGAAUUAUAAGCGAUAAAUUGUAAAUUUAUUUAUGAAAUAAAAUUUCCUUUAUUA